This 253-nucleotide ribosomal RNA is filed under the name uncultured bacterium. Its description in RNAcentral is "partial 16S ribosomal RNA". It matches the Rfam family "Bacterial small subunit ribosomal RNA", at positions 524 to 776 of the family's 1533-position model. The record is from RNAcentral.
GACAGAGGGUGCAAGCGUUGUUCGGAAUUAUUGGGCGUAAAGGGCGCGUAGGCGGUUAGGUAAGUUGAAUGUGAAAUCCCAGGGCUCAACCGUGGAAGUGCAUUCAAUACUGCCAAACUAGAGUCCCGGAGAGGGUGGUGGAAUUCCCAGUGUAGAGGUAAAAUUCGUAGAUAUUGGGAGGAACACCGGUGGCGAAGGCGACCACCUGGACGGAGACUGACGCUGAGGCGCGAAAGCGUGGGGAGCAAACAGG